GCAGUCAUGGCCGAGUGGUUAAGGCGACGGACUAAAAAUCCAUUGGGGUCUCCCCGCACAGGUUUGAAUCCUGUCGACUGCG
This 82-nucleotide transfer RNA is filed under the name Ixodes scapularis (black-legged tick). Its description in RNAcentral is "tRNA-Phe". It matches the Rfam family "tRNA". From Rfam's summary of the family: Transfer RNA (tRNA) molecules are approximately 80 nucleotides in length. Their secondary structure includes four short double-helical elements and three loops (D, anti-codon, and T loops). Further hydrogen bonds mediate the characteristic L-shaped molecular structure. tRNAs have two regions of fundamental functional importance: the anti-codon, which is responsible for specific mRNA codon recognition, and the 3' end, to which the tRNAs corresponding amino acid is attached (by aminoacyl-tRNA synthetases). tRNAs cope with the degeneracy of the genetic code in two manners: having more than one tRNA (with a specific anti-codon) for a particular amino acid; and 'wobble' base-pairing, i.e. permitting non-standard base-pairing at the 3rd anti-codon position. Lineage: Eukaryota; Metazoa; Arthropoda; Arachnida; Ixodida; Ixodidae. The record is from RNAcentral.